Molecule: long non-coding RNA, 2009 nt
Filed under: Setaria viridis
Lineage: Eukaryota; Viridiplantae; Streptophyta; Magnoliopsida; Poales; Poaceae
Description: long non-coding RNA (SVIR_LNC010158)
Source: RNAcentral
CAAUCUGAUAAACUACCUGCUUCAGAAAGGUAUAACACAAGUUGGAAUAUGAUGAUUCUACAUCUGAGACUUUCACUGGAACCUAUAUAAACAUGCUUGAAUGUCUCCUUGACAACUGAGCAGGCAUGACUCCUUACAUCAACCUUUACCACUACGAUCUACCUCUUGCACUCGAGCAGAAAUAUGGAGGGUGGUUAAGCUCAAAGAUGGCGUAAGUCAAUUUUAAAAUUAAUCAAUGUUUAUACCUUUCAUAUUUAUAUGGAAGUGCUUCUACUUUCUAUGUUUUCCCAAAAGAAGACUACACAACAUAGCAGCACUCAGGUAUAUGUUAGCCUAGCACCCUAGCUAAAUGUGCCCGUGAUGCAUCUCUAAUGUCACAAGUUAUAGAAGGAGAAGUACCGGACUAUAUUUAUGUAUCUAUAUGAUUUGUGUUGCAGGGACCUCUUUACAGAGUAUGUUGACUUCUGUUUUAAGACCUAUGGCGAUCGUGUAAAGCACUGGUUUACAUUCAAUGAGCCAAGGAUAGUAGCACUGCUUGGUUAUGACGCAGGGUCAAAUCCUCCUCAAAGGUGCACCAAAUGUGCUGCCGGUGGCAAUUCAGCAACCGAACCUUAUAUUGUUGCGCAUAAUUUUCUCUUGGCACAUGCUGCUGCAGCUGCAAGAUACCGUACAAAGUACCAGGUAUUCUUUUUCUUCAGAAUUUCCUAGAAUUCCCCUGAAAACAAAACUAUGGUCAAUGUACUUUCAUGUUUUAAACUCUGUUCCUCAUGAAAUGCAUUAACUAACUUUAUUUCCUAAAAUAGUUGGACACAUAGCUAUCGAUUGUCAAUAAGAUCUUCCAUGAAAUUGCUGAUGGAAGAAUGGCAUAAUAUUUUCAAAAUGUAGGCUGCUCAGAAGGGUAAGAUUGGAAUAGUCCUGGACUUCAACUGGUACGAAGCUCUUACAAACUCAACUGACGACCAAGCAGCGGCUCAAAGAGCUAGGGACUUCCAUAUUGGUUGGUAAGCUAAUGAGUGUCUUCUGUCGGAACCUAAGUUUUGAAAAAUGAAACUGCAAGUGGAUAAUAUCGUUAACUAUUACAUUUGAUGCAGGUUUGUUGAUCCAUUGAUAAAUGGACAUUACCCACAGAUAAUGCAAGAUCUUGUGAAAGAGAGGCUGCCAAGGUUUACUCCUGAGCAAGCUAAAUUGGUCAAGGGCUCAGCAGACUAUAUUGGGAUCAAUCAAUACACAGCCAGCUACAUUAAGGGCCAGAAAUUGCUCCAGCAGACACCUACUAGCUACUCAGCUGAUUGGCAAGUUCAAUAUGUUUGUGAGUUUCUCGCCUUAAACAAGUUUUAUUUAAAUGUGUUUAUUUUAGAUAUUUUCACCUAAUUAACCUUCACCCUACAAAUUCUGCAGUAGCACGAAAUGGCAAGCUAAUUGGACCACAGGUGUGCAGCUCUUCCUUCACUCUUUCUCAGCGUUGUUUACUUAACUUGCAGUAGCUAGUAUGAUAUUGUCGCCAACAAAUUUAAUAAUAGUGUAGCAAAUUCUUACUAACCAUUGUAUGGAUAUGUAGGCGAAUUCUAAUUGGCUUUACAUCGUCCCGUCGGGAAUGUACGGAUGUGUGAACUAUCUCAAGGAGAAGUACGGAAACCCAACUGUCUACAUAACCGAGAAUGGUACUCAAUAAAAUCCUAUGCUUCUCUACUCCACAUUUCACAUGAAUAUGUUGCAUACCAAGGGUGAAGGGAUCCAUAUAUCGAACUUUUUUUCUUGUUCACAGGAAUGGAUCAACCUGGAAACCUGACCCGCGACCAGUACCUGCGCGAUGUGACAAGGGUGCGGUUCUACAAAAGCUACCUCGACCAGCUGAAAAAAGCCAUAGAUCAGGGCGCAAACGUGGCUGGCUACUUCGCCUGGUCUCUCCUUGACAACUUCGAGUGGCUAUCAGGAUACUCUUCCAAGUUUGGCAUUGUCUACGUCGAUUUCAACAACAAGCUCGAACGGCACCCGAAGGCUUCAGCCUA